UAAAAUGUUUUACACUCUGCUAAACAUGUUAAGAGAUAAGUACUUCUAUCCUCCUCAAAAUGGUAAACACUUACCCAUUGAAUCGAAAUCUUUCUUGAGCAUCAACAGAUGGGGAGAUGUAAAACGUCUAGUAUGAAGCCACUAUUAUGUAGAAUUGAUACCGUAAAAGUGCAAGUGGAUCCCUUCCCAAUAUCAUUCCAUAUAAAAACAAUAUUAGUGUAAAUUCCAUAAACAAACAUUCUUGAUUGAAAAAAGUUCGAUCAAUAAACUAAAGUUUUGUUAUACACACCAUAAUCACAUCAACAUCCAAUUAACAAAAAAUUCAUUCUGUUACCUUUCCUAUGGUGUCGCUUCAUGAAUAAUAUCAAUACCUUUUACUGGUUCCUUAAUUCCAAUAUCUACAAGACACAAAAAACUAAAAGAGCAUAUAUAAAGCUCCAAUAGAAAAACUCCUUAGCCCAAACUUCAAUUAAUUCAAUAAUUAUAAGUGAGAAGAAGCAUAAAAAGGGUGUGAAUGCCUACAAUUACAAUUACCUUUGUGCAGAUAAAUGGCUACAAACAAUCGAAAGCCAAAACGACAAAGAAACUUAAAGACAUUGUAGAUGAUUAAUAAAAUGCAAUUUAAAAAUAUACCUUUACAACUCCAAUGUCUAAGACGUAUGGAGUGAAAGCUAUUCCAAUAGAAGUGCUCAUCCAGUCAUCUGUAAAAAUAAAUAAAUUCUCAAAAGUCAAAAUAGACCGUCUUCCAAAUGAAGCACUGCAAUAAAUCUUGGAUAAAUAAAAGUAGAAAACCUUGCAAGUAAACAUACAGAAAAAAACAAGAAAAAUUAAAAGAAGGUGACACAAGUAAGAAAAGAAAGAUUAAAAAAUAAUUAAAAAAUACCAGAAAAAGGAAAAUAAAGGCCCAAGAACUGAAACUAUUCCCAUAGAAUCCAAUGAAUGGUUGGAUCUUCAAUUGCUACUUGAAAAUCCAAAGAACACACAGCCUUCGCACGGAGGGAGAAAAUGUUUCUUCUGGCGGAGACGAAUUGAUUAUUGAUGGUUUCUUUGAGUGGAGGAGGAGAAAUGGAGAGCUUCUUCGAAGAAGUGGAGGUGGCCACAACCAACAAGCUCUGAAUUGAGAAAUCAAUCAACAAAGACAUGAUUAAGAAGAGGAGAGGAAAAGAGGAGGAUGAAGGACCUGAGAAAACAAUUAGAGCAAAGAAAAAUGGACAAGAAAUAAUUACUUCAGAUAUUUAUUCAUGAACAGUGGAAGAUAAUUUAAUGAACAGUGAGAAGCUAGUUAUUGAACAAUAAUGGAACCAGAUUCAGUGUGAAAAGGAGGCCACAAGAAUAAAU
Molecule: long non-coding RNA, 1338 nt
Filed under: Olea europaea (common olive)
Lineage: Eukaryota; Viridiplantae; Streptophyta; Magnoliopsida; Lamiales; Oleaceae
Description: long non-coding RNA (OEUR_LNC000256)
Source: RNAcentral